CACAAAGAGUACAAAGUCAAGGCCAUGCCCUGUGAGUGUUUGUGCGCACACCUUAGUGGGAAGUCAAGAAGCAAGAUUCUCAGCGAUAAAAGGUGAUCAGAUAUUUCUGAUGAAUCCUGGAAUCACAGCGCUAAGCACUGGACAAAAGAUCAAGGGGACAUUGGAGCCAGUCAGAUAAUGGGUUACUGUGUGAAUGGAGCCUGGCCUAGAAGUUGUACCUGUAUCUGGCCCUGAAGACCUGAAGGCCUGCAAAGCGCAGCAUGGAUCUUUCUCUACGGAAGUGUGAGCAUUUUUGCAAUGCUUAGCACAGCAGCUGCCAGGACUACCACCUGGUACCACCUUUUGUUCAAAAAUGAGAAUGGACAUGGACCAUCACAGAUGGAGAUCCACAUUUCUAUCAUGGAUUUAUUCAAAAGCACGCAGAUUUCACAAGAGGAAAUGAUGAGGCAUUUUUCUGAGAUGUUGAAAGUAUUCUGUUAGUCACCAAUGAAAAAAAAAAUGUUCUGAAAAUUCCUCAAAGGUAAAUGGUAGCCUUUCUUCUCCCAAAGUUCUGAUAUGGUCCCAAAAGGAAAUAGAAACUUGCAUAAUUCAGGCUCCAGUGAUUCUUCUUUCACUCUUAUUAACUGCAAAUCUUUGCCACAUUUUUCUUUACUAAUUAGUUAAAUGCUUAAGCUCCUGAGUCACUGGCCGUCUACUGGUUAGAGCUUGUUCUAACUCUUCCACCCUCAAAUGGAACUUGCAAGGAAUUAGACACUGCAAAGAUUCUACAUUCAUGUCCUGAAAACAAGCCAGCAAUGAGAUUGCCAAGAAGGACAGAUAAGCAUGAGUAUUAAGACCAACUAAUGCUGAGUCAAGGCCUUCCAAUACAUUUCCAGUGGGAAGAAAAGAGAAAAAUUCUGUUUCUUCACUGAUUCAUGUAUGUCUUCUUCCCUCUGAAGAUUUGGAUUUACAUUGGUCCUCUUGUCCUUAUUAUAUUCAAGAGCACAGUUGUAUUGAGCCUGCAGUUUGAAAAUGGCCUUGAAUUUGUCUCCAGCAGCGAUGGAGCCAGACAUGAGGCCAACUCUCCUGUUCUCUGUAGCUAGAGGCCAGAAGUUUGUCAAAGUCACAGAAUCUGAAAAAACCAGCAGCACAUGAGACAUGAAAUGAGCAUGUACAGGAGGUGGGGAGUUUGCCUCUUCCAGAAAAGUCACAUCUUCGGCGUAGAUAAUUCCAAUCUUUACUAAUCCAUGCCAAGCAACGUUCCCAGUAGGUGCUCCAUUAAUCACUGUCAUAUAAACCACAGGAAAAAGCCAUGAGUAGUAUUCCCAGGCUUGUAUCUAAUGACACAAACAACUUAGUAUAAAUAUAUGACCUUCCACUGAUCAGCUCCAAAAUACUUUUUUAAAGGUUGCUUCGCCUUUACUCAUUGGCAGAGUAGCUGUCAAAAUGUUCACAGUUCCCCAGAAGCUGUAUCCUCUUGGGCUUGUCUCAUUUACAUUCUCUGCCCUUCCCUGGAUACCAUUAUCUUCCUAAAAAAUUAAAUCUGAUUAUAUUGUGUGCGCACUUGCACCCUCUCUACUGUAAUUGGGAUCUCGACCUUUGCAUGUAGGCUUCCCUGGUGGCUCAGAGGUUAAAGCGUCAGCCUCCAAUGUGGGAGACCCGGGUUCGAUCCCUGGGUCGGGAAGGUCCCCUGGAGAAGGAAAUGGCAACCCACUCCAGUAUUCUUGCCUGGAGAAUCCCAUGGACUGAGGAGCCUGGUGGACUGCAGUCCAUGGGGUCACAAAGAGUCGGACACGACUGAGUGACUUUACUUACUUAUUUACUUACUUUUGCAUGUAGAAUGGAGUCCAUGCUCAUUAAAAAGGAAUAAAAGACCCUCCUCAGUCCAACUGCAACCUGCUCCUCCAGCUUCAUCUCCACUAUCCUCUUCUUCAUCCUCUCCAUUCCCUAAUGUCACCACAAAAAUCAUCUUUCAUUUCUCACCAUUUCCAGAGGAUACCAAGCCCAAAUUCAAUAGCUCUGUGCACUUCUGCUCCUCCACUUGGUGUUGUCAUCUCUUCUAUCUCUACUGAGAAAACAUCUCACCCUUGAUGAGCUAGUUCUUGUAGCCUCCUCUGAGAAGCCCCAGAUGGAGUUAGUUAUAUCUUUCCCUGUGAGAACAGCAAGAAAAAGCAGCUUUCUUCCUGCACAUAUCUCACUACUCCACUGAAAUAGCUUACCUAAGCCUGUCUCCCUAUCUCCCCAUUAAUCUGUGUAUUUCUAGAAGGUGGAUCAUUUUCUAUUUUUUAGAUUCCCCAGCACCUAAUAUAAUGCAUAUCAUGUAAAAGUUGCUUAGUAGCUAUUUGUAGAAUAAAUGAUAAGCGCAUUGGGUGACUUGGCAUAUGAUAAUGAUGUUGGCAUUCCCAGAAACUCCCCAUGUGAUCAAAUAGGCAGGUUCCCCUGCAUUGCCGCAAGCCUUAUCAUCACUUUUGAGAAUGUCUUCCUUUGCCUCUGAAUAUCUUGGUCUAGCAAAAAUGGCAAAGUCCCAGGGAGCAGGAAACAGAAGGAACCACCUUCAGGCUUCACUAGUACCUCACACCUGCUCAGAACAGUAGAGGAUGCUAACGGGAUGCUAAGAGGUGCUGCAAUCAUCAUCUAUUUUCCUGAACAUGAUAAGGCUGAAUAAAAUGCUCUGCAAAUUACACGUACUUGUUAAAGCUUGAGCACUGACUCCAUAAAGCAAAAUUAUAGAAUGCCAAGGCCAAAGAGACCUUGAUAUUAACCACUAUUUUUGUAGAGAUGAGAACACUGAGACUCAGAGAGGAAAAUAAACAGGAACAUGAAUAUAAACAAUAAAUUCACAAGUGUGCCCUGGACUAUAGUAGAAAACAUUCCCUAAUAGAUGAAAGGGGGUGCCUAUUUAAAAUGUUAGCUUUUCUGUGCCUGCCUAAGAAACAUUCUGGCACAGCUCUGAGCCAUCCGGCUCUGCACUGGAUCCCAGCUCCCCGUGUAAAGCAGAGCAAACUUGGGAGGCUGACAUGGACCUUGGUACCUCUCGCUGCGAUUGGGGAACACUGACAUUUUUGUUGAGGGUGACUAAGAGAGAUGAUUUGCCUUGGUUAGAAAUUAGUCAGAUGGCAUUUCCUUAGGCUUUGCUUUCAUUUCUUAGAGAAAGGUUGAAAUGAACGGAGGACUCGGUCUUCUUUUCAGAUUAUUUCAUGAAUGAUCCAUAGUUGUUGAAUAAUUUCCAGAAGCCUAGGGCAAGAGAACAUGAUAAUGAAGGGAACACCAGGACCUUUCCAAACACCAGGAAAGGUCCGACAGGUGCUAAGCAGGGGGCCUCAGGAGAACUCAUGACAAAUCCUGGAUCCUGAUUUCCUGACUUGUGAAACAAAGGACUUUGACCAGGUACACUCUGAGUCUCCCUCCUGCUCUGGGAAUCCUUCAGGUCUCUGAGGCUACUCGUGAAUGGUCAUUCACGAGACACCUCUCUUGCCUCAUGUGUUGGGCUCUGUGGUUGGCCCUGAGAAGGGAAUGACAC
This 3499-nucleotide long non-coding RNA is filed under the name Capra hircus (goat). RNAcentral describes it as "lncRNA (ENSCHIG00000001479.1)". The stretch from base 1592 to 1663 matches the Rfam family "tRNA". Lineage: Eukaryota; Metazoa; Chordata; Mammalia; Artiodactyla; Bovidae. The record is from RNAcentral.